Meleagris gallopavo (turkey) is the source of this 494-nucleotide non-coding RNA. Lineage: Eukaryota; Metazoa; Chordata; Aves; Galliformes; Phasianidae. The record is from RefSeq and is a predicted model, not a curated record.
GCCGAGCGGCCCGGAGCCUCCUUUCGUCUCGUUCUUCCCUCAUGGUUGCACUGCGAACGGACGCGCGGGGCCCGAGGAGGCGGCUUUCCUCCCGCAGAGGCGCAGCUGCGCCCCGGCGGCUUCAACGGCCUGAGGCCGCGGUGCAGCACCGAGAGGGAACAGCGGCACUGCGAUAAAAGGCUUGUUAAUACCGCACCGUUUGUCUGCAUGGAUCAUUAAAACACCUGCAUCUUCCAGCUCAGUACUGCGCUGACCUCUGCCAAGCAAAUGAGCAAAACUGAGAGCAGAGGCAGGCCUUCAUCUGCUGCAGCACAUAAGCACACUGCCGGGGAUUCCAGCAGAGGCUUACUUCCCUCAGAUACGUAUCCACCCUGCUCUUUUUAUUCCUCCACCUUCCCUAGUCUCUGUACCAGCCUGUCAUACCCAGGUUGUAAGAUCCUGCUUUCAAACUGAGUGCCAGCACCUCUUUGUAAUAAAACAAGUACCUUGAAGGA